AUACGGAGGACGCGAGCGUUAUCCGGAUUCAUUGGGUUUAAAGGGUGCGCAGGCGGCCGUGCAAGUCAGCGGUGAAAGCCCGGGGCUCAACCCCGGAAGUGCCGUUGAUACUGCAUGGCUGGAAUGCGGUCGAGGCGGGCGGAACGGGGCGUGGAGCGGUGAAAAGCGUAGAUAUGCCACAGAAAGCCGAUAGCGGAGGCGGCUCGCCAGGCCUGCAUUGACGCUCGGGCACGAAAGCGUGGGGAUCGAACAGGAUUAGAUACCCUGGUAGUCCACGCCGUAAACGAUGGGCGCUCGUCGUCGGCGGCAGACAGUCGACGGCCAAGCGAAAGCGAUAAGCGCCCCACCUGGGGAGUACGGUCGCAAGGCUGAAACUCAAAUGAAUUGACGGGG
This 393-nucleotide ribosomal RNA is filed under the name uncultured bacterium. RNAcentral describes it as "partial 16S ribosomal RNA". It matches the Rfam family "Bacterial small subunit ribosomal RNA", at positions 523 to 918 of the family's 1533-position model. The record is from RNAcentral.